CACAGCUGUUAUGUUGAUGCAUCUCAGACCCUCGUAGAAUUAUAAAGGUCACAGCUGUUAUGUUGAUGCAUCUCAGACCCUCGUAGAAUUAUAAAGGUCACAGCUGUUAUGUUGAUGCAUCUCAGACCCUCGUAGAAUUAUAAAGGUCACAGCUGUUAUGUUGAUGCAUCUCAGACCCUCGUAGAAUUAUAAAGGUCACAGCUGUUAUGUUGAUGCAUCUCAGACCCUCGUAGAAUUAUAAAGGUCACAGCUGUUAUGUUGAUGCAUCUC
This is a long non-coding RNA of Oncorhynchus keta (chum salmon), 270 nucleotides long. RefSeq lists it as uncharacterized. The transcript has 3 exons. NCBI's taxonomy places the organism in Eukaryota, Metazoa, Chordata, Actinopteri, Salmoniformes, Salmonidae. The record is from RefSeq and is a predicted model, not a curated record.